This 193-nucleotide ribosomal RNA is filed under the name uncultured bacterium. Its description in RNAcentral is "partial 16S ribosomal RNA". It matches the Rfam family "Bacterial small subunit ribosomal RNA", at positions 1312 to 1500 of the family's 1533-position model. The record is from RNAcentral.
UCGACUGCACGAAGCUGGAAUCGCUAGUAAUCGCGGAUCAGCACGCCGCGGUGAAUACGUUCCCGGGCCUUGUACACACCGCCCGUCACACCAUGGAAGUCUGCAAUGCCCGAAGCCGGUGGCCUAACCACUUAUGUGGAAGGAGCCGUCUAAGGCAGGGCAGAUGACUGGGGUGAAGUCGUAACAAGGUAUC